AUCUCAGUCUCUGUUUCAGUGCAGACUACAGAUUUAUAGAUAGGCUCUUAGGCAAAAUGGCCAUGCAAGACUCCCCUCCUUUGUGAACCCUCGUCCUCCUCUAACUCCACUAUCACCUGGGUAGAAAGCCUAGAGCAGAAGGUGGCAAGUUUCCCCAUCUAAAGAAAUGUCAUCUGGGAAACAGCAUACAGUACUUUUCACCACAGCAAAGGAAGGAGGCAGAAACCAAAAUGUGUUGCUUCGAACCUUCUGUUUGUUGGACACUUAUACGUGUGUGUGUGUGUGUGUGUGUGUGUGUGUGUGUGUGUGUGUUGAAACACCCCUUGUGCCCUCUAGUGGCCUUAGGUAGCAAUUGCACCAUUUUUGGCUGCCCCUAAGUGAUUUCUCCUUCAGGGGAAAAAAGCUAUCUUUGGCCUACAAGUUGGUGAAAUUUUCCCCUUAAACCUCCCCCCAGAGGCAUCAAGAGUACUUAGAGAAAAGCCACAAACUUACAGUGGGGCUGAGGCCUUGGACACUGCCAUGAGGCCCCCGGGAAGCUGAUGUGCCACACUUGCCUAUAUCCAUCUGAGAGGGAAAACAUUCCACAAAGGAUACUGCUCUGUAGAGGAGAAGACCAUAAUUCAGUGGCGUCUCAUUAAAAGGUUGAGAUAAAAAGGAAUCUGACUGACAUCUCUUUAAUGUGUAAAGCAGCUGCCUAUGCUCAUGUUAUUUGUCAGAGCAUUCCCAUCAAGAGAUUGCAGGUGAGCAGGCAACGGUCACAAGGAACAGUGGUCGAAGAACCAGGGGUCUUCAUGAAUGGCAGCAGUUUCCUUGCAAAGAGCCUUACUAAGGGAUCCUGCUCAGCCUCAAGAUGUGUGCCUCAGACCUAGCAUGAUGAACCUCUGCUGCUGCAACACAUGCAAGGUGGGGCCCACCCUGACAGACAGUAUGAAGCUUCUAGAGCAUAGAGCUUGCCUUACCCCUUUACCUGGUCAGAGAAGAGGAGACGCCACAGAUCAGCAAUCACACAGGCACUCUAUAUGCAGAUGGACUGCAGUUCCGUUCAAGGAAUCUCCAGAGGAAAGGAUCAAGAAGGGAGUCAGGGACCUCUGCCUGAGAACCUGAUAAUCAACUGAACAGGCUUGGUUAAAUGGCUUUGGUGUUUAGAUGUUUCCCUGGCUAAAUUCUGGAUCAAGCCAUGCAAACUGAAACACACACCAUGCAUAAUUCUAUUUGUUCAGAAUAGUCCCAGCACAAUACAUUACAGGUGUCCAUGUUGGUAUGUAGGUGUGUGUGAGAGAGAGAGACAGAGAGAGAAGAGGGGUGAGCGUAUCCAAGCUCACUUUGACCCUUUCCAUGUUUGAAAAAUGAGCACCCACCUCUGGCACAGAGUCUCUGAAAGUUUAGCCACAAAGGAAUGUGCUGUUUGGCAAAAUAAAACAAAAGUAAAGUAAAUCA
This 1437-nucleotide long non-coding RNA is filed under the name Pogona vitticeps (central bearded dragon). RNAcentral describes it as "lncRNA (ENSPVIG00000007689.1)". The record is from RNAcentral. Lineage: Eukaryota; Metazoa; Chordata; Lepidosauria; Squamata; Agamidae.